UGCGUGUUUGAAUUGCAGAGCCACAACCCA
This 30-nucleotide non-coding RNA is filed under the name Rattus norvegicus (Norway rat). Lineage: Eukaryota; Metazoa; Chordata; Mammalia; Rodentia; Muridae. The record is from RNAcentral.